Molecule: transfer RNA, 42 nt
Filed under: Apodemus mystacinus (broad-toothed field mouse)
Lineage: Eukaryota; Metazoa; Chordata; Mammalia; Rodentia; Muridae
Description: partial tRNA-Phe
Source: RNAcentral
GGUUAAUGUAGCUUAAACAUAAAGCAAAGCACUGAAAAUGCU